AUCUCUCAAACGCUCAACUACAACAUGAGCUCAAUCUCAAAGAAUUCCAAGAUUUCACUCAGAAAGACACCAAGAAGAAGAAGAAGAAACACCCCAAUCUCUCAAAGAAGAAGAAGACUACAUCUACGUGCCUGCAAAGCUCAAAGAAGCACCUCCAAUGGUGGACGCUCUUGCUCCAAGGUCUCAGACAAGCUGGAGGCUCUCAAGAACCUCAUUCCUCCCCACAGUCGAGAGAUUGUAAAAGAUGACCAGUUGUUUCAAGAAACUGCAAAUUACAUUCUCCUCUUGAGGACCCAAGUCUUUGUUUUGCAGAGAUUGAUUGAGUUCUAUGGAUCUAAUACAACUGACGCAAACACUAAUGCUGUAUUAUAGUAUCUUGCUGCUAGCUAAUUUAUUAAUGAAAAAAGAGAGGAUCUCUUCUUGGUCGUUUAGAUUUUCUACAUGGGUUUGUUGAGGAGAAAGUGGAGGGAAAUGGGAAGGAAAAAAAAGUUUUUGGAGCUUAUAUUAUCAUUCAUACAUGACUCACAACCCUUAGAGAAGCUGCUGUGUUUCUGGGUUUUCCAAGAUUUUCUAUUUUCUUUCACUUUCUCUUCAUGUUAUUUAUUAUUUUCUUUAAUUUUCUGGUAUUGUAAUUUUCUUUAGUUAGCUUCUAUCAUUUCUGGGUUAUUGUUGUGACAAUAAGAAGAAUCCCAGUUUCUAUAACAUUGGGAUUUGAAAGUUUAGAAUUUUGGCCUCGUAGAUUUCAAUCAAGUUACUUAUUUCAGGAAGAGAAAGAAAGAUCAAAAGAAAAGAAAAAGAUAUCCUAUAUCCAACACCAGAAUUCUCUUUCUAUAUUUCUAACCUGGAGUGUGACUGUGUACUAGCUAGUGCAGAGAAGAAGGCUGGAAAUAGCCUGUUCUGCAUGAUUUGUUUUUCUCCCAAAAUGGAUUGGAGUAAAAUGAGGUUGGGGCCUGCUUGGGCAGACAUAUUAGCACCAAAAAUUGCAGAAUGUAGGAGUAUGGGUGGGAGGUAAGCAUGGUGAGUACAGUCACAGCAAAAAAGUGGGUGCAUUCUGAUAAAUUAGCAUAAUAUCUCAGUGAAAUGGGCAGCUUUGCCCUUGUCUCUCUUGCCAUACUGUCAUUGCGAUGAUAGUGUCUACUUACUCCUGCUGCCAAAGAAAACCCAUGUGCUAAAGCCAAAUUUUAAGGGCCUUUUUUGCCUUCUUUCUUUUUUUUGGAUUUGUGAUUCAGACUUCAGAGUGCCUGGUUCUGUAGAUUACUGUAAUUAAUCAUCUCCUAAUAUUAAGGAAUCAUCACAACUAAUGUCCUUUAGUUCUUGCUUUUUGUGCAGUACAAGAAUCCACUUUAUGGUGGAAGGGUUAAUUAAUAGGCAUUUGAUUUCCUUCUAUGUAUUUCUG
RNAcentral lists this unclassified non-coding RNA (1396 nucleotides) under Hevea brasiliensis (rubber tree). The record is from RNAcentral. Lineage: Eukaryota; Viridiplantae; Streptophyta; Magnoliopsida; Malpighiales; Euphorbiaceae.